ACGGCGGCGACGCCGAGUCCGCGCGCCGCGCGGAGCCGGGGAACCAGCGCGAUCGACGUCCGGGCCGACGGCCCGCGGCGCGCUCGCAGGGGUGAAUCGACGUUUCGUCCGAUCGAGGAGACCGCGGAGACCGCGGAGACGUCGUAGGGCGGCUUCCAUGCCCGAAUCCGUCAGCUAACCCGGUAGGCGGCAUGGAAGGAGAA
Molecule: small RNA, 203 nt
Filed under: Actinomadura sp.
Lineage: Bacteria; Bacillati; Actinomycetota; Actinomycetes; Streptosporangiales; Thermomonosporaceae
Description: c-di-AMP sequence
Rfam family: c-di-AMP riboswitch aptamer (ydaO/yuaA leader)
About the family: This family represents a conserved RNA structure found upstream of the ydaO and yuaA genes in Bacillus subtilis and related genes in other bacteria.
Source: RNAcentral